CCGCGACCCCAGGUCAGGCGGGAUCACCCGCUGAGUUUAAGCAUAUCAAUAAGCGGAGGAAAAGAAACUUACGAGGAUUCCCCUAGUAACGGCGA
This 95-nucleotide ribosomal RNA is filed under the name Napeanthus primulifolius. RNAcentral's name for it is "partial 28S ribosomal RNA". It matches the Rfam family "Eukaryotic large subunit ribosomal RNA", at positions 1 to 92 of the family's 3401-position model. Lineage: Eukaryota; Viridiplantae; Streptophyta; Magnoliopsida; Lamiales; Gesneriaceae. The record is from RNAcentral.